Molecule: unclassified non-coding RNA, 251 nt
Filed under: Hevea brasiliensis (rubber tree)
Lineage: Eukaryota; Viridiplantae; Streptophyta; Magnoliopsida; Malpighiales; Euphorbiaceae
Source: RNAcentral
GUGCGGUCGGAGCCUACAUCAUCAUAGGCAAAGACCUUAAAAAUGCAAUGUACUCCAUCCACACCGGACCUGAUGCUAUGUCCGCUCCAACAUAGUUAAGCAUGAAAUCAAAAGCUUUUCUCGUCUCUUCUUGACCCUCAUUCCCCCUCUUGUCGUUGACUUUCCUGAUAAAGCGGAUGUAACAGCGCCAAAGUGGAAUCUGUAGACAGUUUAACAGGCAGCGACUAAAUAUUUGUUUUGUCGCAUCAUCA